GAGUAGCUGGGAUUACAGGCGCGCGCCACCACACCCGGCUAAUUUUUGUAUUUGUUUAGUAGAGACCGCGGUUUCACCAAGUUGGCCAGGCUGGUCUCCAACGUCUGACCUCAGGCGAUCCACCCGCCUGGGCCUCCCAAAAUGCUGAGAUUACAGGCGUGAGACACAGCGCCUGGCCGGAAAGUGGCUAUUUUAAGAAGAUUGAGAAUAUGUUUCGUGGGGUCGCAUUAUUCUGCGUGACGAGGCUCACAGAGGAGAACCCCACCCUUACUCCAAAGGCCUUUGAAAGCAGCUCUGGAAAGGGUAGGUGCGGGGACCACUCGGCCACCCAGCCAGCACCGCGGCACUCGCCGCCGCCUCCUCGACGCCUGGCUGCACAAGGUGGGGGGUCCUGGCCGUCCGCCAGCUUCUGCAACCGUCUAGCAGAGCCGCCGCAGUUCGGAGCCCACGCGGGCCAAACCACCCGCGCCUGCGGGCUCUCGGGCGCCACGGAGAGGCGGCGCCACCUUGGGGGACCUCUGGCCGAGGCGCCACGCGACAGUUGAGGCGCCAGAUGUGAGUUGAGGUGCCAGACUUGAGUUGAGGUGCCAGACGUGGCGGCUUUGGGUACCCAGGACCCUUGGACGGGUCUGCUGCAGCUCGCUGGGGGUCCACUCCAGACCCUGUUCGCCUGGGUAUCACCAGUGGAGGCUGCAGAACAGCAAAGAUUGCUGCCUGCUCCUUCCUCCAGAAGCUUCUUCCCAGAGUGGCACCAACCUGAUUGAUGUCAGCGGGAAUUCUCCUGCAUGAGGUGUCUGGCAACCCCGAUGGGACGUCUCACCCAGUCAAGAAGCACGGGAUUGGAUCGGGGACCUCCUUAUGGAGGCAGACUGACUGUCCCUUAGCAGAGCUGGUGCACUGUGCUGGAGGAAUAGCCCUCAUUGGGAUCAGCUGUUCUCUUCAGAGCCAGCAGGCAGGAAAGAUUAAGUCUGCUGAACCUGGGGCCAUGGCCGCCCCUCGCCCGAGGUGCUCUGUCCCAGGGAGAUAAGAGUUCUGUCUGUAAGCCCCUGACUGUAGCUGCUGGAAUUCCUGCAGGGAUGCCCUGCCCGGUGAGGGGGGAUGGCUUCAGGUCCCACCUAGGAAGCAGUCUGGCCACGAUCUGCAACAGCCACUUUGCUGUUUUGUGGGGAAUUCCACCCAAUCCAAAUGUCCUAGUCUCCUUAGCACUCUCAGGGGAAAACCUCCAACUAAAGCCUCAGUAAUGACGGUUGCCCCUCGCCCUGGGAACUGAGUUGUCCCAGGCUGACUCCAUACUGCUGUGCCAGCAGCGAGGAUUUCAAGCCAGUGGGUCUUAGCUGGCGGGGUUUCCGUGGGAGUGGGACCCUCCGAGUGAGACCACUUGGCUGCCUGGCUACAGCCCCCUUUCCACAGAAGUGGACAUUUCUCCUGCCUCACUGGAGUUCCAGGUGCUGCUGGAGUAUGUAAAAACUCCUGCAGCUCAGCGCCUGCCCAAACAGCCGUCAACAGGCGCAGCUGUCAUUGGUCUGCCCAAUUUUGUGUUUGAGACCCAGGGCCCUGGUGGUAUAGUCUCCCGAGGGGAUCUCCUGAUCUGCGGAUUGCAAAAGUCUGUGGGAAAAGCUUAGUACCCUUGGUGGGUAGCACUGUCCCUCACCACUUCCCUUGACUGGGGAGGGAGGUCCCCCUGCCCUGUGCAGUUCCUGGGUGAAGCAAUACCCUGCUUCUUCUCGCUCUCUGUGGGUCAUGCCGACCAUCUAGUCAGUCCCAAUGAGAUGAACUGGGUAUCUCAGUUGGAAAUGCAGAAAUCACCCACCCUCCUCGUUCCUCUCGCUGGCAGCUGAAGACUAGAGCUGCUUCUAGUCAGCCAUCUUGUCCCCUCCCCGCCAAGGUAAGUUUAAUAAGUCUUCUAAAUUUGUCCUUGCCAUAAUGAUCAGUGAUGAUCUGUGUUUUAAUAAGUUAAAUGCUUUCCAGACUUCAAGACUCUCACUAACAUCAAAAAUAAAAUUAAAUAUUGGCCAUAUUACCAGGAUUUUAGAAUGUUGUAUUUUAUCCUCUAAUUAUAGGUCAAAUAACUAAGGUAGAAAGGAGUAAAGCAACUUCCAUGUAUGUAGUGAGGAUGUUGGGGGGUCUGGGACUAAAAUUCUGCCUUGGGAUUCCCAGGAGUUGGUGAUUAUGAUUUUUGUACUCUUAGAAACAAAAAAAAAAAACAUUCUAUUUUGUUC
Molecule: long non-coding RNA, 2219 nt
Filed under: Pongo abelii (Sumatran orangutan)
Lineage: Eukaryota; Metazoa; Chordata; Mammalia; Primates; Hominidae
Description: lincRNA
Source: RNAcentral